CCUACGGGUGGCAGCAGUGGGGAAUAUUGGACAAUGGGGGGAACCCUGAUCCAGCCAUGCCGCGUGUGUGAAGAAGGCCCUCGGGUUGUAAAGCACUUUCAGUGAGGAAGAACGCCUGGUGGUUAAUACCCAUCAGGAAAGACAUCACUCACAGAAGAAGCACCGGUUAACUCCGUGCCAGCAGCCGCGGUAAUACGGAGGGUGCGAGCGUUAAUCGGAAUUACUGGGCGUAAAGCGCGCGUAGGUGGCUUGAUAAGCCGGUUGUGAAAGCCCCGGGCUCAACCUGGGAACGGCAUCCGGAACUGUCCAGCUAGAGUGCAGGAGAGGAAGGUAGAAUUCCCGGUGUAGCGGUGAAAUGCGUAGAGAUCGGGAGGAAUACCAGUGGCGAAGGCGGCCUUCUGGACUGACACUGACACUGAGGUGCGAAAGCGUGGGUAGCAAACAGGAUUAGAUACCCCAGUAGUC
Molecule: ribosomal RNA, 465 nt
Filed under: Vreelandella stevensii
Lineage: Bacteria; Pseudomonadati; Pseudomonadota; Gammaproteobacteria; Oceanospirillales; Halomonadaceae
Description: partial 16S ribosomal RNA
Rfam family: Bacterial small subunit ribosomal RNA
Source: RNAcentral